RNAcentral lists this transfer RNA (71 nucleotides) under Candidatus Woesebacteria bacterium. RNAcentral's name for it is "tRNA-Gln". It matches the Rfam family "tRNA". From Rfam's summary of the family: Transfer RNA (tRNA) molecules are approximately 80 nucleotides in length. Their secondary structure includes four short double-helical elements and three loops (D, anti-codon, and T loops). The record is from RNAcentral. Lineage: Bacteria; Candidatus Woeseibacteriota.
UGCGGGAUCGUCUAAUGGUAGGACAGCGGCCUUUGGAACCGUCAAUCUAGGUUCGAAUCCUGGUCCCGCAG